AUUGAACGCUGGCGGAAUGCUUUACACAUGCAAGUCGAGCGGCAGCGCGGGGCAACCUGGCGGCGAGCGGCGAACGGGUGAGUAACAUAUCGGAACGUACCCAUUGGUGGGGGAUAACACAUCGAAAGAUGUGCUAAUACCGCAUACGACCUGAGGGUGAAAGGGGGGGAUCGCAAGACCUCUCGCCGUUGGAGCGGCCGAUAUCGGAUUAGCUAGUUGGUGGGGUAAAGGCUCACCAAGGCGACGAUCCGUAGCUGGUCUGAGAGGACGACCAGCCACACUGGGACUGAGACACGGCCCAGACUCCUACGGGAGGCAGCAGUGGGGAAUUUUGGACAAUGGGGGCAACCCUGAUCCAGCCAUUCCGCGUGAGUGGAGAAGGCCCUCGGGUUGUAAAGCUCUUUCAGCAGGAACGAAACGGUGUGGGUUAAUACCCUGCAUCAAUGACGGUACCUGAAGAAGAAGCACCGGCUAACUACGUGCCAGCAGCCGCCGUAA
This 498-nucleotide ribosomal RNA is filed under the name uncultured bacterium. RNAcentral describes it as "partial 16S ribosomal RNA". It matches the Rfam family "Bacterial small subunit ribosomal RNA", at positions 29 to 523 of the family's 1533-position model. The record is from RNAcentral.